GCUCCUGAAUAAUCAGUGAUUGACAGCUGAGUUGAAUAAUGAGCCACAUAAUGAGCCUUGUGGGAAUGUUCAACAGUAGUAAAACCAUGAAAAGGUUUACUUGGUAAUUUAUAACAAAAAAAUGUAAUAGAAUGUGAACACACACACACACAUUUCUAUUGAAAUAUUUUCUAUUAUAUUUCUGAACAAUAUUUAUGAGAAAUAGGCCUUUUGUGUACAUACAAAAAGUAUAUGUUUUUCUAUACAUGUCUACUUUGUUUCUUUUUAGCUUCCAGACUGUAGCAGUCAGAAAUGUCAUCUGCGUUUGUCCCGCGUUUGCCCACUGAGCAAAAACACGUCCAAAAGAAGUAAUCAUAAUGUCAUUGUCUACACUCUAAAAACCGUUGGGUAACAGACAAUGCUUUUUUGUUUGAAGUGUAGUAAAAAACGUUUUUAACUUUUGUAAGGGAUGCAACCGGCUGUUUUUGGCUCCAAAUAUUUUUUUAGCCGGUCUGUGUUAUAGAAACAGAGCUGUAAUAUAAAUGUGCUUCUGAAUGGAAAUGUCUUAAAAAAUGACUCGAUGCUAUUUUAUUGUCGUCUUACUGUCACCUGAUAAAGUGCUAUUUUAAUCCUGCACGUCUACUACUGUUUACUGUAACCCCGGUAACGGUUGAAUUUGCUCUUCAGCGACAUCUACUGUCAAAGUAGAGUAUUUAUUCAGCGUGCCAGAUGUGUUUGCUUUGAGAUUUAAUUCAUUAUUCUUUUCAUUAAAUGUAGACAUUCAUGGAGAUGUUGCAUUAAAAACCCUACAAAAUGACCAGCAAGAUGGUUAAGCCUUCCUACAGUACCAAGAGCCAAAGCAAACAUUUAUUAAUUUUCAACCUGUCAGAAAACAAACAUAAUUCAGUAUUUGGAGGAGGAGGUAUGACGAAGACCCCAUGUCCUGCUAUGGGAUGAAUUAGACUAAUCACAAGCCUUUGUUAUCAAGGGGAGGCAUGGCCCAGGAGCAAGACCAGCAGUUGACACGUGCUUUAAUAUUUUUUACAUUUUAUACAGAAUAUCCCAAGCCUUUCACUACUGUUAAGUAGUUUCUGUAACAUACAAUACAUUUUGUACCAGGUGAUGUUUCCUGAACACACUGUCACCUGCUUAAAGGGACAGUUCCCCCAAAAAUGAAAAUUGUCAUAAUUUUCUUCCUCUCCUGUCGUUACAAACCAGUACACAUUUUUUUGUUCUGAUGACCACAAAGGAAGAUAUUUUGAGUAAUGUUUGAAACCAAACAGAUCAUGAGCCCCAUUGACUGUCAUAGUAGGAAAAAAGAAUACUAUGAAAAUGAAUGGGGCUCAUGAUCGGUUUGAUUUCAAACAUUCUUUGAAAUAUACCUUUGUGGUUAUCAAAAUAAAGACUUAUAUACAGGUUUAUAACAACAUGAGAGAAUGAAAAUGAUGACAAAAUGUGUGAACUAUGCUUUUAAGCAGUUUUUAGUUGGAUAAGAUGGAGUACAUUUGUUCUUUUCUUAUGUUUUUGUUUAUUUAUGUAUGUAUAUAUGUAUGUGUGUAUGUGUUUAUGCUUCUAUACAUGUAUGUAUUUAUACAUUUAAAUGCAGGUGCAAAUGACUAAAUGAAAAUAAAGCAUUAGAAAUGUA
Misgurnus anguillicaudatus (oriental weatherfish) is the source of this 1624-nucleotide non-coding RNA. Lineage: Eukaryota; Metazoa; Chordata; Actinopteri; Cypriniformes; Cobitidae. The record is from RefSeq and is a predicted model, not a curated record.